UGAGCCAUCACUCACAUGUGCACAUAUUUCAUUGCCAUUGUCGUCAGACUGAGGUCACCUCAGGUACUUUUCCUAUAAAGUAUGUCUGGAGUCGCAAAACGUCACAUUUUCAUUGACAUCGGUGGAUGAGAUUCAAGCUGAGAAUCAUAACCUAGAGCCGAGAAGAGAAACGACACCAUCGUCACCAUGAUUGCAAAGAUUUGUUUCCUCGUCCUUCUGUUCGUUGCUUCUGGCAACUCACAGGCCAGUACCACAGAAGGAGGUACCACAGCAGCAGGUACCACAGCAGCAGUAACCACAGCAGCAGUAACCACAGCAGCAGUAACCACAGCAGCAGGUACCACAGCAGCAGUUACCACAGCAGCAGUAACCACAGCAGCAGUUACCACAGCAGCAGUAACCACAGCAGCAGGUACCACAGCAGCAGUAACCACAGCAGCAGGUACCACAGCAGCGGGUACCACAGCAGCAGUAACCACAGCAGCAGGUAC
Etheostoma spectabile (orangethroat darter) is the source of this 491-nucleotide long non-coding RNA. RefSeq lists it as uncharacterized. The record is from RefSeq and is a predicted model, not a curated record. The transcript is spliced from 3 exons. NCBI's taxonomy places the organism in Eukaryota, Metazoa, Chordata, Actinopteri, Perciformes, Percidae.